GACGCACAUUGCGCCCUUUGGUAUUCCGAGGGGCACGCCUGUUCGAGCGUCAUUUACACCAUCAAGCCUAGCUUGGUCUUGGACGCGGUCGAGUGACCCGUCCGUAACCCGUUGGCGGUACAGUCCGGCUUCAAGCGUAGCAAAAAUUUCGCUUCAGGAGUCCGCGGCGGUGCCCGCCAGGUAACAACCUCCUAAAGUUUGACCUCGGACCAGGUGAGGAUACCCGCUGAACUUAA
RNAcentral lists this unclassified non-coding RNA (236 nucleotides) under Cryptosphaeria sp. RNAcentral's name for it is "partial contains 5.8S ribosomal RNA, internal transcribed spacer 2, and large subunit ribosomal RNA". The record is from RNAcentral. Lineage: Eukaryota; Fungi; Ascomycota; Sordariomycetes; Xylariales; Diatrypaceae.